AAUACCAGAUAAGACCACAGGGGGCUUUGGCUCCUGAGGUAAAAGAUAGCCUCUGCAUGCAAGCUAUCACUUCCAGAGGGGUCCGCGGCCCAUCAGCUAGUUGGCGGGGUAACGGCCCACCAAGGCGACGACGGGUAGCUGGUCUGAGAGGACGAUCAGCCACACUGGAACUGAGACACGGUCCAGACUCCUACGGGAGGCAGCAGUGGGGAAUUUUGCGCAAUGGGCGAAAGCCUGACGCAGCAACGCCGCGUGAGUGAUGAAGGUCUUCGGAUCGUAAAGCUCUUUCGGCUGGGACGAAAACCGGUUGGUGAAUAGCCAACCGCUUGACGGUACCGGAAGAAGAAGCACCGGCUAACUCUGUGCCAGCAGCCGCGGUAA
This 381-nucleotide ribosomal RNA is filed under the name uncultured delta proteobacterium. RNAcentral's name for it is "bacterial SSU rRNA". It matches the Rfam family "Bacterial small subunit ribosomal RNA", at positions 165 to 523 of the family's 1533-position model. The record is from RNAcentral. Lineage: Bacteria; Deltaproteobacteria.